CGCCAGACUCCUACGGGAGGCAGCAGUGGGGAAUAUUGCACAAUGGGGGAAACCCUGAUGCAGCGACGCCGCGUGAGUGAAGAAGUAUUUCGGUAUGUAAAGCUCUAUCAGCAGGGAAGAAAAUGACGGUACCUGACUAAGAAGCCCCGGCUAACUACGUGCCAGCAGCCGCGGUAAUACGUAGGGGGCAAGCGUUAUCCGGAUUUACUGGGUGUAAAGGGAGCGUAGACGGCAUGGCAAGUCAGAUGUGAAAGCCCGGGGCUCAACCCCGGGACUGCAUUUGAAACUGUCAGGCUGGAGUGCAGGAGAGGUAAGUGGAAUUCCUAGUGUAGCGGUGAAAUGCGUAGAUAUUAGGAGGAACAUCAGUGGCGAAGGCGGCUUACUGGACUGUAACUGACGUUGAGGCUCGAAAGCGUGGGGAGCAAACAGGAUUAGAUACCCUCGUAC
This 447-nucleotide ribosomal RNA is filed under the name uncultured bacterium. RNAcentral's name for it is "bacterial SSU rRNA". It matches the Rfam family "Bacterial small subunit ribosomal RNA", at positions 329 to 793 of the family's 1533-position model. The record is from RNAcentral.